RNAcentral lists this long non-coding RNA (237 nucleotides) under Ananas comosus (pineapple). RNAcentral describes it as "long non-coding RNA (ACOM_LNC044341)". The record is from RNAcentral. Lineage: Eukaryota; Viridiplantae; Streptophyta; Magnoliopsida; Poales; Bromeliaceae.
UAGAAGGGAUCGAAUAAAGAGUUAAUUUGUAGGAAUAAAUAGAAAUUUAAGGAUAGAAACGCAACAUACGCAUAAGAUCGCUGGAGAUUGAAGUAUGUAUGUAAAAGGUUUGUGAAGAUUAUAGAUUCUGUAGCUACACUUUUGAAACACAUAAUAACAUAAAAUAUUUAAAUCAUUACCAUGCAACUCAAGUUGCCUAGUUGUAAAUGGUGUUAGUAAAAUAAAAGAAUUAUGAUA